RNAcentral lists this ribosomal RNA (440 nucleotides) under uncultured bacterium. RNAcentral describes it as "partial 16S ribosomal RNA". It matches the Rfam family "Bacterial small subunit ribosomal RNA", at positions 338 to 795 of the family's 1533-position model. The record is from RNAcentral.
CCUACGGGUGACAGCAGUGGGGAAUAUUGCACAAUGGGGGAAACCCUGAUGCAGCAACGCCGCGUGAGUGAAGAAGUUUUUCGGUAUGUAAAGCUCUAUCAUCAGGGACGAGAAUGACGGUACCUGAAUAAGAAGCUCCGGCUAACUACGUGCCAGCAGCCGCGGUAAUACGUAGGGGGCGAGCGUUAUCCGGAUUUACUGGGUGUAAAGGGAGCGUAGGCGGUUCUGCAAGUCUGAAGUGAAAGCCCGGGGCUUAACUGUGGGACGGCAUUUGAAACUGUGGUACUUGAGUGAUGGAGAGGUAAGCGGAAUUCCUAGUGUAGCGGUGAAAUGCGUAGAUAUUAGGAGGAACAUCAGUGGCGAAGGCGGCUUGCUGGACAUUAACUGACGCUGAGGCUCGAAAGCGUGGGGAGCAAACAGGAUUAGAUACCCGGGUAGUC